GGAGUUAGCCGGUGCUUCUUCUGUGAGUGAUGUCCUUCCUGCCGGCUAUUAACCCGCAGGCCUUCUUCCUCACUGAAAGUGCUUUACAACCCGAAGGCCUUCUUCACACACGCGGCAUGGCUGGAUCAGGGUUGCCCCCAUUGUCCAAUAUUCCCCACUGCUGCCUCCCGUAGGAGUCUGGGCCGUGUCUCAGUCCCAGUGUGGCUGAUCAUCCUCUCAGACCAGCUACGGAUCGUCGCCUUGGUGAGCCGUUACCUCACCAACCAGCUAAUCCGACAUAGGCUCAUCCGAUAGCGCGAGGCCCGAAGGUCCCCCGCUUUCCCCCGUAGGGAGUAUGCGGUAUUAGCCUGGGUUUCCCCAGGUUAUCCCCCACUACCGGGCAGAUUCCUAUGCAUUACUCACCCGUCCGCCGCUCGCCACCAGGGAGCAAGCUCCCCGUGCUGCCGCUCGACUUGCAUGUGUUAGGCCUGCCGCCAGCGUUCAAUCUGAGCCAUAAUCAAACUCUGA
This 507-nucleotide ribosomal RNA is filed under the name uncultured bacterium. RNAcentral's name for it is "partial 16S ribosomal RNA". The record is from RNAcentral.